UGAACUCUCACAAAGUUUGUUAAUGUCAUAUAAUCAUAAAAUUGUAUUCAGAAACUCUUUUGUUCCCUGCAAUGUACAGUUGAAGUGUCUGUGUCCUGAAGAUGAAGUUUAUUUGUUUGACUCUGAUGCUUAUAAGCGGAAUUACAGACUCAGUAUCAGGACCAUCUGCUCUGUUCAGUCAAGUUCUCCACCAAGCUCGAUCUCAGCAGAGCAUACAACCUCAUCCACAUCAGGGAGGGAGAUGAAAGGAAGACAGCUUUCUCCACUACAUCCGGUCACUAUGAAUAUUUGCUUAUGCCAUUCGGCCUCUCUAACAGUC
Puntigrus tetrazona (Sumatra barb) is the source of this 319-nucleotide long non-coding RNA. RefSeq lists it as uncharacterized. Lineage: Eukaryota; Metazoa; Chordata; Actinopteri; Cypriniformes; Cyprinidae. The transcript is spliced from 3 exons. The record is from RefSeq and is a predicted model, not a curated record.